UACGUAGGGAGCAAGCGUUGUCCGGAAUCAUUGGGCGUAAAGCGCGCGUAGGUGGCCACAUAAGUCCGUUGUGAAAGUCAAAGGCUCAACCUUUGAAAGCCGAUGGAUACUGUGUGGCUAGAGUACGGAAGAGGCGAGUGGAAUUCCUGGUGUAGCGGUGGAAUGCGCAGAUAUCAGGAGGAACACCAAUAGCGAAGGCAGCUUGCUGGGACGGUACUGACGCUGAGGCGCGAAAGCGUGGGGAGCGAACAGG
RNAcentral lists this ribosomal RNA (253 nucleotides) under uncultured bacterium. Its description in RNAcentral is "partial 16S ribosomal RNA". It matches the Rfam family "Bacterial small subunit ribosomal RNA", at positions 524 to 776 of the family's 1533-position model. The record is from RNAcentral.